CACAGAGGUCUCAAGCGUUGUUCGGAUUCAUUGGGCGUAAAGGGUGCGUAGGUGGCGAGGUAAGUUGGAUGUGAAAUCCCAGGGCUCAACCCUGGAACUGCAUUCAAUACUGCCUUGCUAGAGUACUGGAGAGGAGAUUGGAAUUUACGGUGUAGCAGUGAAAUGCGUAGAUAUCGUAAGGAAGACCAGUGGCGAAGGCGGAUCUCUGGACAGUUACUGACACUGAGGCACGAAGGCCAGGGGAGCAAACGGG
Molecule: ribosomal RNA, 253 nt
Filed under: uncultured bacterium
Lineage: Bacteria
Description: partial 16S ribosomal RNA
Rfam family: Bacterial small subunit ribosomal RNA
Source: RNAcentral